AGCGCAGACGGGAGAUUAAGUCAGUUGUGAAAGUUUGCGGCUCAACCGUAAAAUUGCAGUUGAUACUGGUUUCCUUGAGUGCAGUUGAGGCAGGCGGAAUUCGUGGUGUAGCGGUGAAAUGCUUAGAUAUCACGAAGAACCCCGAUUGCGAAGGCAGCUUGCUAAACUGUAACUGACGUUCAUGCUGAAAGUGUGGGUAUCAAACA
This 206-nucleotide ribosomal RNA is filed under the name uncultured bacterium. Its description in RNAcentral is "partial 16S ribosomal RNA". It matches the Rfam family "Bacterial small subunit ribosomal RNA", at positions 568 to 774 of the family's 1533-position model. The record is from RNAcentral.